This 511-nucleotide ribosomal RNA is filed under the name Vibrio sp. UmAT_1_195. RNAcentral's name for it is "bacterial SSU rRNA". It matches the Rfam family "Bacterial small subunit ribosomal RNA", at positions 373 to 876 of the family's 1533-position model. RNAcentral also lists the same sequence under 2 other names. The record is from RNAcentral. Lineage: Bacteria; Pseudomonadati; Pseudomonadota; Gammaproteobacteria; Vibrionales; Vibrionaceae.
GGGCGCAAGCCUGAUGCAGCCAUGCCGCGUGUGUGAAGAAGGCCUUCGGGUUGUAAAGCACUUUCAGUCGUGAGGAAGGUGGUAGUGUUAAUAGCACUAUCAUUUGACGUUAGCGACAGAAGAAGCACCGGCUAACUCCGUGCCAGCAGCCGCGGUAAUACGGAGGGUGCGAGCGUUAAUCGGAAUUACUGGGCGUAAAGCGCAUGCAGGUGGUUUGUUAAGUCAGAUGUGAAAGCCCGGGGCUCAACCUCGGAAUAGCAUUUGAAACUGGCAGACUAGAGUACUGUAGAGGGGGGUAGAAUUUCAGGUGUAGCGGUGAAAUGCGUAGAGAUCUGAAGGAAUACCGGUGGCGAAGGCGGCCCCCUGGACAGAUACUGACACUCAGAUGCGAAAGCGUGGGGAGCAAACAGGAUUAGAUACCCUGGUAGUCCACGCCGUAAACGAUGUCUACUUGGAGGUUGUGGCCUUGAGCCGUGGCUUUCGGAGCUAACGCGUUAAGUAGACCGCCUGG